Molecule: transfer RNA, 77 nt
Filed under: Candidatus Buchananbacteria bacterium RIFCSPHIGHO2_01_FULL_47_11b
Lineage: Bacteria; Candidatus Buchananiibacteriota
Description: tRNA-Arg
Rfam family: tRNA
About the family: Transfer RNA (tRNA) molecules are approximately 80 nucleotides in length.
Source: RNAcentral
GCACCCUUAGCUCAGUGGAUCAGAGCGACUGGCUUCGGACCAGUAGGUCGGGGGUUCAAAUCCCUCAGGGUGCACCA